CGGGACGUGGCGCAGCUUGGUAGCGCAUCCGCUUUGGGAGCGGAGGGUCGCAGGUUCAAAUCCUGUCGUCCCGACCG
Molecule: transfer RNA, 77 nt
Filed under: Amycolatopsis suaedae
Lineage: Bacteria; Bacillati; Actinomycetota; Actinomycetes; Pseudonocardiales; Pseudonocardiaceae
Description: Amycolatopsis sp. 8-3EHSu tRNA-Pro
Rfam family: tRNA
About the family: Transfer RNA (tRNA) molecules are approximately 80 nucleotides in length. Their secondary structure includes four short double-helical elements and three loops (D, anti-codon, and T loops).
Source: RNAcentral